Molecule: long non-coding RNA, 1595 nt
Organism: Gasterosteus aculeatus aculeatus (three-spined stickleback)
Lineage: Eukaryota; Metazoa; Chordata; Actinopteri; Perciformes; Gasterosteidae
Source: Ensembl
AGCAUCCUGAACAGGUGGUGGGGAGGAGGACACUGAAAACAGGGACCAGCCUCUUCACCACCUACUGCUGCGACACGGAGCAUCUUCUCCAACAGGCUGAUGCAGCUCCGCCGUCACACGGACGGAUACAGGAAAACAUUCCUGCCAACAGAACACAGCGGAUUAAUAAAGUGUGUAUCCAUCCAUCUACCGACGCAGCAUGAGCUCGGGUUAGCGGUUAGCUUCACGUUAGCGCACACACACACACUCAGUAAGGUGAUGGAUGGUCUGAUGACAUCGUGGUCCAGUCUGUCUGCCCAGCUGCCUGUCUGCAAACACACACACACACACACACACACACACAGACACACACACACAGACACGCACGGGUGAACACAAAGAGGCAGUGAAAGAUCAGCCCAUUAGUUAAUUAGUCUGCUGAGCUGAAGGGAGUCCAGAGAGGGAGAGUGUGUGUGUGUGUGUGUGUGUGUGUGUGUGUGUGUGUGUGUGUCUUUAGCAGCGUGUCAGAGCUCCAUCAAGGAGCAGCAGAGAGAAGUCAAACAUGUCUUAAGUUGUAAACACAUUUUAUCAUUCAGAUGUUUUUACUUCUUCAAGUCUUGAGCACAUUUAAAAUUAAGAAUAUUGUUGUUUGAUAAUAACAUUAUUGAUCAUCACUAACACCAUCUGGGAGUAAUGCGUGUGUCCGUCGAGCUCCGUGUUACUGGAGCUUUGUGAGAAUUCAGAGAUGAGACGGACUGAAGCAGAUCAACAACUGGCCUGGAACACACUCGACACGCUGUGUGAGAGCUAAUUGUAACUAAUAAGAUGCUCUAAACCAGCGGUAGACCUGAGGUGCUAGAGCUCCUCUCUCUCCUCUGUCCUCGUCCUUCUGGACGUCUCUGCUGCAUUUGACACAGUCAACCAGCAGAUCCUCGUCUCCUCCCUUCAGGAACUUGGUGUCUCAGGCUCUGCUCUCUCGCUUCUCUCGUCCUACCUCGACGGCCGCACCUACCGGUCAUGAUGCUCCUUUGAAGUUGACUCUUCGUCAGACCUGCAGCCAACCUUCUCCUCCCUCCUCUCCUCCUCUCUUUCCACCAUGCUUCCUUGUGCCUCUCCGCUCCACCUCUUCCUCCUCCUUUCCCCUAUGCUCCUCUCCUCCCCCCUCCUCUCUGCCCCGGCUGCAUCUCCCUCCCCCUCCGUGGCGUCGGGCAGGGUGGUGUACCGGGCCUUUGACUCCUCCCCUCACACACCUGACUGUCCAUCGGAGGACAGGUGAGGUGUUCGUGGGGUGCCGUCAACAGAGUCCUGAAGCUCUUCAGCCAAUCUGACGGAGCUAAGGAGUCACAUGACUGGACCAGUGGAGGACAACGCCAAAUGUAUCUCUCUCCCAGUGUCAGGGCCUGUGCUCUCAGCAUCGCUGUGGGAACGUUUGAGAGAAGAGAGACGAUAACGUGAACGAGCCGCUACGUCCACUUAGUUUAAAAACACAACGGAAACAGGACACGACGAAGCUCAAAGCUCCCCUGAAACAACGACCUGAACUACUGCGGCUCCUCCAUGUCGCCGCCCUGCCCGGGCCGGCCGGUUGUUAGGGGGACCGGGCCACUCCGUCUCCA